RNAcentral lists this long non-coding RNA (254 nucleotides) under Lathyrus oleraceus (garden pea). Its description in RNAcentral is "Pisum sativum (pea) long non-coding RNA (PSAT_LNC007707)". The record is from RNAcentral. Lineage: Eukaryota; Viridiplantae; Streptophyta; Magnoliopsida; Fabales; Fabaceae.
GCAUCGAUGCAUGUUGUGUAACCCUCUUAUGCCUCAGCCUAUCGUGUCUAUCAGCCAUUAUACUUAUAAGUUAAAUUAAAUCAGACAAUUAGUGCAAGGAUACAACACCACAAGCAAGAAUGAAAAAAAACAGAAAAAAUUCCGAAGAUGCAUCUCCGGUUCCUGGGAAAUUAAAUGUUUAAAAAUUCUGGAGAUGAAUCUCCAAAAUUUUCUGCAACUUAGCAGCUGCGUCAAUGGCGUCAAUGCAGACAUGG